UUCACUAUAACCCCCUUGGAUUACAGUCGGUUGUUUUGCAAGCUCACAACCAAACUUAUUGUUUUACGAGCUCACAACGAACUCGGUCGGUUUUCCCAGGCUCACCGACUAGAACCAACCCCGAUUGUUUUCCCGGGCUCACAAUCAAACCCUUACACACGUUGGUUUUAACUUGGCUCACCAACCAACCUUGAUCCCCUUGAUUCAAUCCCCCGAUUGAAUCAAGUACAUACAAGAAAUAGAAGAAAACAGAAAAUAGCUUCUCAAAAAGCAGAUUUAAAACAAUAUAA
RNAcentral lists this long non-coding RNA (290 nucleotides) under Phoenix dactylifera (date palm). RNAcentral describes it as "long non-coding RNA (PDAC_LNC010981)". Lineage: Eukaryota; Viridiplantae; Streptophyta; Magnoliopsida; Arecales; Arecaceae. The record is from RNAcentral.